UUAAGCGACUAAGCGUACACGGUGGAUGCCCUGGCAGUCAGAGGCGAUGAAGGACGUGCUAAUCUGCGAUAAGCGUCGGUAAGGUGAUAUGAACCGUUAUAACCGGCGAUUUCCGAAUGGGGAAACCCAGUGUGUUUCGACACACUAUCAUUAACUGAAUCCAUAGGUUAAUGAGGCGAACCGGGGGAACUGAAACAUCUAAGUACCCCGAGGAAAAGAAAUCAACCGAGAUUCCCCCAGUAGCGGCGAGCGAACGGGGAGCAGCCCAGAGCCUGAAUCAGUGUGUGUGUUAGUGGAAGCGUCUGGAAAGGCGCGCGAUACAGGGUGACAGCCCCGUACACAAAAAUGCACAUGCUGUGAGCUCGAUGAGUAGGGCGGGACACGUGGUAUCCUGUCUGAAUAUGGGGGGACCAUCCUCCAAGGCUAAAUACUCCUGACUGACCGAUAGUGAACCAGUACCGUGAGGGAAAGGCGAAAAGAACCCCGGCGAGGGGAGUGAAAAAGAACCUGAAACCGUGUACGUACAAGCAGUGGGAGCACGCUUCGGCGUGUGACUGCGUACCUUUUGUAUAAUGGGUCAGCGACUUAUAUUCUGUAGCAAGGUUAACCGAAUAGGGGAGCCGAAGGGAAACCGAGUCUUAACUGGGCGUUAAGUUGCAGGGUAUAGACCCGAAACCCGGUGAUCUAGCCAUGGGCAGGUUGAAGGUUGGGUAACACUAACUGGAGGACCGAACCGACUAAUGUUGAAAAAUUAGCGGAUGACUUGUGGCUGGGGGUGAAAGGCCAAUCAAACCGGGAGAUAGCUGGUUCUCCCCGAAAGCUAUUUAGGUAGCGCCUCGUGAAUUCAUCUCCGGGGGUAGAGCACUGUUUCGGCAAGGGGGUCAUCCCGACUUACCAACCCGAUGCAAACUGCGAAUACCGGAGAAUGUUAUCACGGGAGACACACGGCGGGUGCUAACGUCCGUCGUGAAGAGGGAAACAACCCAGACCGCCAGCUAAGGUCCCAAAGUCAUGGUUAAGUGGGAAACGAUGUGGGAAGGCCCAGACAGCCAGGAUGUUGGCUUAGAAGCAGCCAUCAUUUAAAGAAAGCGUAAUAGCUCACUGGUCGAGUCGGCCUGCGCGGAAGAUGUAACGGGGCUAAACCAUGCACCGAAGCUGCGGCAGCGACGCUUAUGCGUUGUUGGGUAGGGGAGCGUUCUGUAAGCCUGUGAAGGUGUGCUGUGAGGCAUGCUGGAGGUAUCAGAAGUGCGAAUGCUGACAUAAGUAACGAUAAAGCGGGUGAAAAGCCCGCUCGCCGGAAGACCAAGGGUUCCUGUCCAACGUUAAUCGGGGCAGGGUGAGUCGACCCCUAAGGCGAGGCCGAAAGGCGUAGUCGAUGGGAAACAGGUUAAUAUUCCUGUACUUGGUGUUACUGCGAAGGGGGGACGGAGAAGGCUAUGUUGACCGGGCGACGGUUGUCCCGGUUUAAGCGUGUAGGCUGGUUUUCCAGGCAAAUCCGGAAAAUCAAGGCUGAGGCGUGAUGACGAGGCACUACGGUGCUGAAGCAACAAAUGCCCUGCUUCCAGGAAAAGCCUCUAAGCAUCAGGUAACAUCAAAUCGUACCCCAAACCGACACAGGUGGUCAGGUAGAGAAUACCAAGGCGCUUGAGAGAACUCGGGUGAAGGAACUAGGCAAAAUGGUGCCGUAACUUCGGGAGAAGGCACGCUGAUAUGUAGGUGAAGCGACUUGCUCGUGGAGCUGAAAUCAGUCGAAGAUACCAGCUGGCUGCAACUGUUUAUUAAAAACACAGCACUGUGCAAACACGAAAGUGGACGUAUACGGUGUGACGCCUGCCCGGUGCCGGAAGGUUAAUUGAUGGGGUCAGCGCAAGCGAAGCUCUUGAUCGAAGCCCCGGUAAACGGCGGCCGUAACUAUAACGGUCCUAAGGUAGCGAAAUUCCUUGUCGGGUAAGUUCCGACCUGCACGAAUGGCGUAAUGAUGGCCAGGCUGUCUCCACCCGAGACUCAGUGAAAUUGAACUCGCUGUGAAGAUGCAGUGUACCCGCGGCAAGACGGAAAGACCCCGUGAACCUUUACUAUAGCUUGACACUGAACAUUGAGCCUUGAUGUGUAGGAUAGGUGGGAGGCUUUGAAGUGUGGACGCCAGUCUGCAUGGAGCCGACCUUGAAAUACCACCCUUUAAUGUUUGAUGUUCUAACGUUGACCCGUAAUCCGGGUUGCGGACAGUGUCUGGUGGGUAGUUUGACUGGGGCGGUCUCCUCCUAAAGAGUAACGGAGGAGCACGAAGGUUGGCUAAUCCUGGUCGGACAUCAGGAGGUUAGUGCAAUGGCAUAAGCCAGCUUGACUGCGAGCGUGACGGCGCGAGCAGGUGCGAAAGCAGGUCAUAGUGAUCCGGUGGUUCUGAAUGGAAGGGCCAUCGCUCAACGGAUAAAAGGUACUCCGGGGAUAACAGGCUGAUACCGCCCAAGAGUUCAUAUCGACGGCGGUGUUUGGCACCUCGAUGUCGGCUCAUCACAUCCUGGGGCUGAAGUAGGUCCCAAGGGUAUGGCUGUUCGCCAUUUAAAGUGGUACGCGAGCUGGGUUUAGAACGUCGUGAGACAGUUCGGUCCCUAUCUGCCGUGGGCGCUGGAGAACUGAGGGGGGCUGCUCCUAGUACGAGAGGACCGGAGUGGACGCAUCACUGGUGUUCGGGUUGUCAUGCCAAUGGCACUGCCCGGUAGCUAAAUGCGGAAGAGAUAAGUGCUGAAAGCAUCUAAGCACGAAACUUGCCCCGAGAUGAGUUCUCCCUGACCCUUUAAGGGUCCUGAAGGAACGUUGAAGACGACGACGUUGAUAGGCCGGGUGUGUAAGCGCAGCGAUGCGUUGAGCUAACCGGUACUAAUGAACCGUGAGGCUUAACCUU
RNAcentral lists this ribosomal RNA (2902 nucleotides) under Escherichia coli. RNAcentral describes it as "bacterial LSU rRNA". It matches the Rfam family "Bacterial large subunit ribosomal RNA". Lineage: Bacteria; Pseudomonadati; Pseudomonadota; Gammaproteobacteria; Enterobacterales; Enterobacteriaceae. The record is from RNAcentral.